AGAUGCUUUGUCCAAAUCAAAAGUAAACCAUAUCUCAUUAACUCUGUUCUUGAACUCAAAUGGAGAAUUGUAUUGAGCCACUGUGUAAAUAGCAGUAUUAUCUGCAGCCUGGCUUUUGUCAACGGCUGCUGCCCAUUUAGUGCCGGCAAUACUGGCACUCAGGGCAGCGGCUUCUUUUGAAAUAUCAUCAUCAACUACAAAUCCACUGAAUUGCCUGACAGCAACAUAUGUUUUGCUCCAUUUUUGGAGGUGAAGGCCUUUAGCUGGAGGAGGAUUUGGCUGGUUCUUCUUUGGUACAUAAAAGCUCACAACAAAUGCGGAAGCACAAAAUGGACCAUCACUUGGCUUCACUUGAGUCAUAACUGGUGCUGUCAUCUCUAUUGUCUCAUGGAAACUGUUCUUUCCUCGAAUGUAAUUGAAGAGACUGCCAAGGCCAAGUUCAUAACCUUUUUAAGCAAACGGAUACACUAAUAACAACAACAGCAUACCCAAUAGAGUCCCACAAAAUGAGGACCGGGGAGGGUAGAGUAUACACAAACCUCGCUUCUACCUUAGAGGUAGAGAGGCUAUUUUCAUAUAGACCCGCGAAUCAAGGAAAAAUAGUCCAAAUCAAUCCGGAAAAGAACAGAAGUACAAGAAAUAUCAGAUAGUACGUAAUAAAACAGCAGAUAAAAUGAUACUUUUGGGACAAACAAAUACAUAUUACUACUAUCUACUAUGUAAUUGUAAGCUGAAACUGGCGCAUUUAUGCUACUUAAUAAGUGACAUAUCCAAACAAUGAAACAAUAUAUCCUCCUGUGUUUUUCUGUUAAUAGUCAGAUUAGUUCCAACUAACGGAGAUUAAACUAAAGCAAAUAGCACCUAGAGUGUGGCCUAAUGAUCAAUGGCCUACGGUCUCUUGUUCAAAUUGUUGGAAAUUGCUUUGAGUUACUGCACUAGUUUUUAGCAAAAUAAGUUAUUUAGAUUAAGAUGAAUUUGAAUUUUAAAUAUUUGUUAGUUUGUUUAGUUGUUGAGAUAUUUUAGGCUGUUUUAAAUUUCAAAUUAUGCAGAUUUUUGUUUUAUGUUGGCUAUUUAAAGCCCCUCAAUGCUUAAUAAAAUCAUUGAAUGCUAUUGAAAGUUAUUCAAUCCUUUGAGAGCCAUUUUAACUCCCUUUUUGCUGCCCCAUCUUUCUUUAAAAAAAACAACAGUGGUAUCAAGAGCCUCAUUGAUCUUACGCAACUAGCAUUCCGGUUCUACAUAUCGAAUUGGGGUGGGGAGUUCCGGUUUGAUUUUAGAGGGAUUCCUAUUGCUGGCAUAGUGAGGACUACAGAAAGCAUAGUUGCACGGAAAUAGCCAUGGGAUCUGUGUGUUCUUUCAAAGCGCUACCAUACCAUUUUUAACCCGCAAGAGCUAUCUUUUUAUUACGGGCUACCCAUUUUAACCCGUCAGGGCUACCAUUUUCAACCCGUGCUUAUUUUCAAUGCGUACGGCUAUUUUCAAGCAGCAGUCUCUCAUUGAAUGUCCCAAAAAUUUUCACUGGCGAAAACUACCAAAUUUGGUCAGUGGAAAUGAAAUCGUAUCUUCAAGCCUAUGAUCUGUGGGAAGUUGUAGCGGAUGAUACACCGUUACAACCAUUUCCUGAAAAGUUGUAGCGGAUGAUACACCGUUACAACCAUUUCCUGAAAAUCCUACUGUUGCUCAAAUUAAAUCUCAUUCAGAUGAAAAGCUCAAAAAGUUCAAAGCCAAAACUGUAAUUCAAAAUUCAGUUGUGGAUUCGAUUUUUUCUAAAAUCAUUGCUUGUGAGACAGCAAAUGAAGCUUGGGAAAAACUAAAAAAAGAAUAUCAAGAAAGUGAUCGAGUUAGACAAAUGCAAAUUUUGAAUUUGAAAAGGGAUUUUGAAUCUCUUAGAAUACAAGAGGAUGAAACUAUUGCUAAGUAUUCUGAAAAGAUUUCUUUGCUUAUCAAUAAAAUCAGGUUACUUGGUGAGGAUUUCAAAGAUGAAAGAAUAGUAGAAAAAAUUCUUGUGACAAUUCCGGAGAGAUUCGAGUCUAAAAUCUCAUCUCUGGAGGAGUCUAAAGAUCUCUCUACUAUCUCUGUUGAAGAACUAAUAAGUGCUCUUCAAGCAAAAGAGCAAAGAAGAGCUUUUAGACAAGACAAUAUUACUGAGAGUGUCUUUUAUGCACAAAACAAAAAAGGAAAAGGUAAUUAUCCUCGUUGCAGACACUGCAAAAAGAAAACACACUUGGAGAAUUUUUGUUGGUGGAGACUUGAUGCAAUAUGUGGAAAUUGCAAACAAGCAGGUGAUGUUACAAAAGUGUGCAAACUAAAAAACAAUCCUCAAGCACAAUUUGAGGAAGCAGAAAUUGAGGAGGAGCGCCUCUUUUAAAUCGCAGUAUCUAAAGCAAGGAGGAGUGUUGAAAAUUACUUUGAGUUACUGCACUAAUUUUUAGCAAAAUAAGUUAUUUAGAUUAAGAUGAAUUUAAAUUUUAAAUAUUUGUUAGUUUGUUUAGUUGUUGAGAUAAUUUAAGUUAUUUUAAAUUUUAAAUUAUGCAGAUUUUUAUUUUAUGUUGGCUAUUCAAAGCCUCUCAAUACUUAAUAUAAUUAUUGAAUGCUAUUGAAAGUUAUAGAGUCAUUUUAACCCUUUUCGUUGCUAUUUUUCUUUAAAAAAACCCAACACAAAUUCCAACCGAAACAAACAUAUUACUCUGUCCCAAAUUAUACGACAGUCUUUUUUAGUCAUUACAAAAAACAAAAAAAAUGACACAUUUCCUUGGCAAAUGUUCAAUGACCCACAUUGGGUCCCACUUAUUUUGAGAAAAAAAAAUCCACAGAAGUAUGCUCUUCUAUUAAAAGAAUUAGUACUAUUUAAUUUUAAAGGUAGUUCUCAAAAGUUACAAAGUCUUAUCACAGUUUUUAAAACUUCAUAACCAGUCAAACUACAUUACAUAAAAUGGCCGGAAAGGAGGGAGUAGGUAAUUUCAAUUUAUUUGUUUGUAUCUUGAUGGACAAAGCAGAAGGUAGGCAUCAAGUAAAAUUAAUCGAGGUGAACACAAACUAAUCGAGACAUCAUAAAACAGUUAAAUGAAGUAAAAGGGAAGUGGAAAAAUUAGGGAAUAGAUAUAUAAACCUGCGGAAACCAGUUCUGGUGGCUUCCCUAAACGAAAUAUCAUCAAUUGGAGCAGUAGACAUCCACAUGGCAGAAUUGUAAAGACGAAUUUCAUAGUCUUUUCCAGAUUCAAUCAAUUCAUAAUUUGGACACUCAAUUCUUUUGCAAGGUGGAGGAUAGAAAUCCAACUUUGUUGAAUAUCCAGCAUUGCAUAAUUUGGAAACAAGAAUCAGAAACAAACACAGCUUGAUCAUCCAAACAUUCAUGGUAACACAUAGCACCAUCUUUACUAGUAGUAUUUUCUUUUUGGUCACAGAAAUUAUAGAGGAAAAAGCAUGCAGAUUAGUGAGUAUGAAUGUGUGUCUACUUAUUUAUUGGAGAUAUUUGGAAGUAAUAAAGUAAUCUAGCGUUAAGGACGCUAGAGGCCUUGGUUAUGCCACGUCCUAGGCAAGUGCCAACAAUAUCUUAUAUUUAGACUAUAGAAAAAAAAGAUAAAAGGUUAAAAUCACGUGUGUCGCCAUUUCCGUUUUCAUCUGUAUAUACAGCUAACUAUUUAAUAACAUAAUUUUUAUUUUAUUUUUAAUGAGUUUCACUUUAUAAGAAAAGAUAAUUAAAAAAUAAAUUUUAUCAUGAAUAAUUUUAUAAACUUUAUAAAGUCAUUAUUUAUUUUUUAAACUUUAUGCCUAGUUAAAUGUCGACUCAUAAAAUAAGGGGAAAAAGUAUGAGUGUGUUUGAUAUGAUGGAAAAUGUUUUUCAAUUUUUCCCUUAUUUGGUUGUAAUGAAAUGUUGAGAAAGUAUUUUCCACAACAACUCAUUUUCCUUCAUUUGAUGGAAAAUGACUUCCCUCAUAGGUUUAAGGGAAGUCAUUUUCCAGAAAAUGACAAAUGAGACUUAUAAUUCCGCCCUCAUCCCUUUUUUCCAUCCCAACAACACUCAUAUUCAUAUGACUCAAAAAAUUUACAUUACUCGAAAAUGUUUUUCAUUGUACUUUGUUUUAAUUUUUCACUGCUUGAAAUAAAAAAAAGUGAAACCCAAAUUUUUUUCAUUUUCAAUAUUCGUUGAAUAUAUUGUUAUUUUUAUAUUCAUAGAAAAAGACUUACCUAUGUCACUUUUGCUAAUUACAUAUUUCAUCUUGUCAUCAAUGUAACUUGUUUCAUGAGGUUGAAUAAACUUGUCGUUCCGUUAUAUUUCUAUUGAUUGUAAUAUCUUGAGAUUGUCCUGAUAAAAUGUUGAAAAAUAUCUUCUAUAUUUGCUAAUUAAUAGUUGCACUAUUUCUUGGCAACUUGGACAACAACUAACGAUGUUUGUCCCGCAUAUCACUAGGAAGAUCGGGAUCUUUACAAAGGGCUUUAUAAAGCUUUCGUCUCAAUUCAUAUUUAGCCUAGCCGGUUAGCCGAAAAUCAAAGUUUAUCCGGUCCCUGAAAAAUUCGCUUUUUAUGAUUACAUCGGCAAUAAUCCAGAAAGUGGAUCUAUUUCGUUUUUUUCUCUUUUAAGAAAAGGAAAAUCUUAUUUCCCCACAGUUAGUAAUAUUUUCUAAAAAAUAUUUUUUUACUCACCAAUCAAACACUAAAAAAUAUUUUUCUAAAAAAUAUUUUCUACUCACCAACCAAAUACCAUAAAAUAUUUUUCGAAAAAUAUUUUUCACUCACCAACCAAACAUGAGAAAAUAAGUAGAAAACCAACUUAUUUUCCAGAAAAAUAUUUUCCAUCAUACCAAACACACCCUAUAUGUUUUUCCCAAAAAAUUUCAGGCACUAACUAGCAGUUGUUCCUUACGCAUUAACUACAGUUUUUCUACAUUAAUGAUCACAAUAAUUCAGGUAGGAAAAGAAAAUAUUUUGAUAAUUAAGGCAUGUUUUAAUGCAUAGGAAAAAACAAUUACUAGUAAUUAAUUUAUGGAAUCUGCAAAAAGUAAAAUUCAAAUAAGUAUGUUUUUGAUUGCCAAGUUGCCAUUUCUGUAUACGAGGAAAAAAACAUUAUCUUAGUCUACGGCAUUAAAUGAGUAGGAAACUUUUAGUGAGUAAUUUAUGUUAGUUCUUAUUUAUGAAUUUCGAAGAUAAGUAAUCUGCAUAGUUGCCAACCCUCCUCCCCUAAAAAACAAAAAGAAUAAAGAAUAACAGUUGAAGGAAAAAAGUUCAUAUAGGAUUCGAGAGAGGGCUGCAUUCUACGUACGGGAGUGUAAUGUAGGCAGCUUAAGUGAGUAAUCUACGAGUGCAAUGUAAGUACUUACUCUGAUUGCAAGUAUUAGUAGCUGAUUCCAUGGCUUAAACUUAUCGUGUCUAUAAAUCACAAAAAAGAAUUUUACUGUUACUCAAAGACUCCACUUCAACUUAUUAAUUAAAUUGCGGUAAUUGGACUAUUUUGAAAUAAUCAUGAAUGGGACCAGAAGACAUCCACAUAGGAGAAUUAUAAAGGCGAAUUUCAUAGUCUUUUCCAGAUUCAGUUAACUCAUAAUUUGGACACUCAAUUCGUUCACAAAUUGGAGGAUAGAACCCAUUGCAUAAUUUAGUAACAAUGACCAAAGAGAAACACAGCUUGAUCAUCAACAUAUUCAUAACAUUCUUCAUUUUUAAUUGACAUCAUUUUUAUAAUUUUCACGACAUCAUUUAACUUGCUAAAUUGUUGCAAAGGGCAACUCGAUCGGUGCAUGAAGCAUCUUGCAUUCACGCAACACAAGCCAUUGUACAAAGCAUGUCACAUUCAUGUAGGAUUUGAGAAUAGGCCAUACCCCAUAGGAGUGUAAUGUAAGCAGUCCAUCCUGAAGCAAGCAUGCAUCGGCGACUCAUUCAAUGGCUGGAACCACGACCUAUAGGUCAUACCGAGACAGUUUUACCAUUACAAUACCGAGAUGUCUUAUUUAACAAUAUAUAAUGUAGCGUUCUGGUCAUACAGAAUUACUAGACUUCUCAACAAUCCCUUUGAUAAUACAAACAGGAAAACGCGAUAGCAAACCAGAAGUAAAUCACGUCUCAUUAGCUCUAUUCUCGAACAAGAGCGUCUCAAAUGGCAGAUGCUUUGUCCAAAUCAAAAGUAAACCAUAUCUCAUUAACUCUGUUGUUGAACUCAGACGGAGAGUUGUAUUGCGCCACUUUAUAAACCGUAGUGUCAUCUGCAGCCUGGCUUUUUUCAACGGCUUCAGCCCAUUUAGUGCCAGCAAUACUGGCACUCAGGGCAGCGGCUUCUUUUGGAAUAUCAUCAUCAAUUACAAAUCCGCUGAAUUGCCUGACAGCGACGUAUGUUUUGCUCCAUUUUUGGAGGUGAAGGCCUUUAGCUGGAGGAGGAUUGGGCUGGUUCUUCUUUGGUAUAUAAAAGCUCACAACAAAUGAGGAAGUACUGAAAGGUCCAUCACUUGGCUUCACUUGAGCCAAAACUGGUACUGUCAUCCCUAUUUCCUCCUUGUAAAUGUUCUUUCCGUGCCUGUAAUUAUAUAGACUGCCAAGGCCAAGUUCACAAUCACAUUUUUCAGCAAAUGGAUGCACUAACAUUUAAGUAUAAAGAUUUAAUAAUAACAACUACACUUCAAUCCCAAGCAAGCCUCGGUCGGAUAUAUAAAUUCUCACUGACCAAGUAACUCCUUUUAAGCUCAAGUAGCAGUAUAACAAGUUCUCUAUUUUUGUUUUCCAUUGGCAUAUGAAUCUUAAAUACAACCAGGAAUGGAACAUUUCCAUUGGCACUAGAAAACAUUUAGUGUUUGGUCGGUGAAUGAAAAUGUUUUCGUGGAAAAUAAGUUGAUUUCUUACUUGUCUUCUUAUGUUUGGUUGGUGAGUGGAACAUAUUUUCCAGAAAAUGUUUUCAAUGUUUGGUUUGUGAAUGAGAAAAUAUUUUUUAGAAAAUAUAUUUUAGUAUUUAGUUACAGAGUAAAAAUACAUUUUAGAAAAAGAAUUUUUGACCUCGAAAUUUUUUUUAGAGUGUGUUGAGGAAAAACAUUUUCCUGAAAAAUACGUUGUUUCUUAUUUAUAAUCUUGUGUUAGUUUUGCAAAUUGAGUAAGUAUAUGUUUUAUAAAAGUAUUUGUAAAUAUUUUAACAAAAAUAAUGAGAACGAAUAGGAUAAGAAGGGUGACAUAAAAUUGAUUUCUUUUAAAAAUAAAUUUAAUUUUUUGGGAGGGAGGGGGGCUAGUAGGGGUUGGGGUUCGGGAUAGGGCAGUGAGGGUGGCGUGAGAAAAAAAUUAAAAUUUUUUAAAAAUAUAUUUAGAAAAGAAAAAUUUGGAUGGGGGAGGGGCAGGGGUUGGUAGGGGGGACGUGGAGUNNNNNNNNNNNNNNNNNNNNNNNNNNNGGGAUUGGGAAUCGGAGUAGGGGCGGAUGAUUUUGAGAGUUAAAUAAACAUUUCAACUUAAGAGUAAAAGUUGGAAGAGAAUUUUGGAAAACGUUUUCUCUAUAACUAGUCAAGCUACAUCACGUAAAUAGACCGGAAAGGAGGGAGUAGGUAAUUUCUAUCUAUUUGUUCGAAUCUUGAUAGACAAAGCAAAAGAUAUCUAGUAGAAUUAAUCAAGAUGAACACAAAGUAAUCGAAACAUCGUAAACACAGAUAAAUGAAGUAAAAGGCAAGUGGGAAAACUAGGGAAUAGUUAUAUGUAUAUAUAAACCUUUGGAAACCAGUUGUGGUGCCGGAAAAGAAUGAAGUAUCAUCAAUAGGAGGAGUAGACAUCCACAUGGCAGAAUUAUAAAGACGUAUUUCAUAGUCUUUUCCAGAUUCAAUCAACUCAUAAUCUGGACACUCAAUUCGUUCACAAGGUAGAGGAUAGAAAUCCAACUUAGUUGAAUAUCCAGCAUUGCUUAAUUUGGAAACAAGAAUCAGAAACAAACACAGCUUGAUCAUCCACACACCUAGCACCAUCUUUACUAGCUAGUAGUAGUAGUAUUCUUUUUUUGGUGACAGAAUUAAAUUAUAGAGAAUGAAGCAUGCAGAUUAGUGAGUGUGAGGGUGUGUGUACUCAUUUAUUGCAGAUAUUUGGAAGUACAAAAGUAAUCUAAGCGAUAAGGACACUAGAGGCCUUGGUUAUGCCACCUCCUAGACAACAUUAUCUUACUUGAUUCAUUUCAAUUUGAUACAAGAAAAUGAUGAAUCUUUGUGGGUUAAAAAUUAAAGAUACGUUGAAUAUAUCAAAAUAUUCUUUAAUUUAAUGAUUUUGAAUAUAUUACGUGGAAAAUUAAAGUUAAAGUAGAAAAAAAAAAUCAUUCCUUUUAGGAGGAACUGAAAAAAGAUAGGUUAAAUAAAGUGAAAUGGGGGAAAUAUUUUGACAAAAAAUAGUACUUAGUACUCCACAGCAUUAAGGAUAAACUGAUACCACAUUUCCCAUAGUUAAGAAGUAGGAAAAUUUUUCAUAGUAUAUGCUGGUGAAGAUAAUAAUUAUAUCCGUGAAAAAUAUUUAUUAUAUUCGUUUCAAUUUGUUUGUGUUACCUUUUUUUUUAUUUAUGUGGGAAAAGAAAGUCAUUCUCUUUAUUUAGUACUAACUUGCUAGUUGCUGCACCUAAUACUUAGACCACACGAUUCAAAGGUAUUUUAUAAAAUGAAGAUAAAAUAAUUUGGUGUACGAAGCAUCUACGCAAUAUCAGGAAAUGUGCCAUACCCGAAAGGAAGCAGUAAUGUAUGCAAGCAUCGGUGCCUCAUUCCGUACCUAUACAAUUUUAUCAUUACUCGAAGAUCUUUCUUCGACUUGCUAAAUUGAAGCCACAUUGUAUUAUUGUGAAAGAUCUUGACAACCAAGUUCUCAGAAUUAGAUUGUAUUAUACAACCUAUCUUAUUUGCAAUAUACAAUGUAGCAUUCUGGUCAUACAAAACUACUAGGACUUCUCAACUAUCCUUUACAAAUACAAAGCAAGAAAAUGAGAUAGUUAAAACAUAUCUCAUUAACUCUGUACUUGAACAAGAGCCUCUCAAAUGGCAGAUGAUUUGUCCAAAUCAAACGUAAACCAUAUCUCAUUAACUCUAUUCUUGAACUCAAAGGGGGAGUUGUAUGCCGCCUUCGUAUACAUCGUAGUAUUAUCUUUGGCUUGGCUCUUUUCAAUGGCUGCUGCCCAUUUAGUGCCUGCAAUACUGGCGCUCAGGGCAGCGGCUUCUUUUGGAACAUUAUCAUCAGUCGCAAAUCCACCAAAUUGCCUGACCGCGACAUAUGUUUUGCCCCAUUUUUGGAGGUGAAGGCCUUUAGCUGGAGGGGGAUUUGGCUGGUUCUUCUUUGGUAUAUAAAAGCUCACAACAAAAGAGGAAGCACAAAAUGGACCAUCACUUGGCUUCACUUGAGUGAGAACUGGAGCUGUCAUCUCUAUCGUCUCCUUGUAACUGUU
This 9367-nucleotide long non-coding RNA is filed under the name Capsicum annuum. RNAcentral describes it as "long non-coding RNA (CANN_LNC020103)". Lineage: Eukaryota; Viridiplantae; Streptophyta; Magnoliopsida; Solanales; Solanaceae. The record is from RNAcentral.